Aphidius gifuensis is the source of this 399-nucleotide long non-coding RNA. RefSeq lists it as uncharacterized. The record is from RefSeq and is a predicted model, not a curated record. The transcript has 4 exons. NCBI's taxonomy places the organism in Eukaryota, Metazoa, Arthropoda, Insecta, Hymenoptera, Braconidae.
UAUAAAUACUUGGACGAGCGUUUUCUUGAGGUUUUUCCAAGAUUCUUAGAUAUCCCUGACCUGAUCAACGUAGAAUUCAACUUAUUGUAUCCAAGCAUUGAGCAAGAUAUAUUUUUAAGCUUGUAUCCUGAGUAUAUAAAUGCAAUUUUACAUGUUUUUGCUAACGAGAAAAUUAACUCGAUUUUGCUAGAUUGGGAUCGAGUUUCUAAUUCUCUCAUUGCACUUGUUGCACUUAUACCACCAACUGUACAUGGUAAAAAAUUAGCAUCUAGAGAUAAGCUGGUAAACAUAGUUACAAAGUUGAUAUUUUUCCAGAAGUCAGGAACUCCAUUGCAAUCGCCUUUAAAUCAAGGUCGUUCUCAGCCAAAAUUAAUUGCCAUUGGCCCAAGUAAACGAGCU